RNAcentral lists this transfer RNA (64 nucleotides) under Apatetica glabra. RNAcentral describes it as "tRNA-Asn". Lineage: Eukaryota; Metazoa; Arthropoda; Insecta; Coleoptera; Staphylinidae. The record is from RNAcentral.
UUAAUUGAAACCAAACUAGAGGUAAAUCACUGUUAAUGAUAAAAUUGAGAAUUCUCCAAUUAAG